GAGAGAGAGAGAGAGAAUCGGGAAUAAGGGAGGGAAGGAAAGAAGGAACAGGUUAAGUAAGGUUAAGAUAGGAGUUUAUUAAAGGAAAGGAAGUAUGAAUAGGGAAAGGAAGGAAAAGGUUAACACGUUAGGUCAGGUUAGGUUAGGGGAGAAGGGAAGGAAGGGAAGUAUGAAUAAGGAAGGUAGGAACAGGUUAGGUAAGUUUAAUAUAGGAGUUUAUUAAAUGAAAGAAAGUAUGAAUAGGGAAAGGAAGGAAAAGGUGAACACGUUAGGUCAGGUUAGGUUAGGGGAGAAGGGAAGGAAGGGAAGUAUGAAUAAGGAAGGAAGGAACAGGUUAGGUUAGGUUAGGACACACGGAUACAAAGCUAAAAGGAAAGACUGUUUUUAGCAAGCGGAGGUCUUAAAGCUGAACGGGGGAAACAAACGACCUUGGAGGGAAACUUUAUAAUGAAGGAUCGCUGCCUGGGAAAAAAAUGGUGGUGGUGGUGAUAAGGAGUGGAGAUAGAGAGAGAUGGAGAUGAUAAUGGUGGUGGUGGUGGUGGUGAUGAAAAACGUGAUGGUGGUGAUGAAGAUGGUAUUGAUUGUGAUGUCGGUAAGACCAAUGCGUGGGAGAGAGAGAGAGAGAGAGAGAGAGAGAGAGAGA
Molecule: long non-coding RNA, 643 nt
Organism: Eriocheir sinensis (Chinese mitten crab)
Lineage: Eukaryota; Metazoa; Arthropoda; Malacostraca; Decapoda; Varunidae
Exons: 2
Source: RefSeq, a predicted model, not a curated record